AGGAAUUGACGGGGGCCCGCACAAGCGGCGGAGCAUGCGGAUUAAUUCGAUGCAACGCGAAGAACCUUACCAAGGCUUGACAUAUACCGGAAAAGCGUAGAAAUAUGCUCCCCGCAAGGUCGGUAUACAGGUGGUGCAUGGUUGUCGUCAGCUCGUGUCGUGAGAUGUUGGGUUAAGUCCCGCAACGAGCGCAACCCUCGUUCUAUGUUGCCAGCACGUAAUGGUGGGAACUCAUGGAAGACUGCCGGGGUCAACUCGGAGGAAGGUGGGGAUGACGUCAAAUCAUCAUGCCCCUUAUGUCUUGGGCUUCACGCAUGCUACAAUGGCCGAUACAGAGGGCUGCAAUACCGCAAGGUGGAGCGAAUCCCAAAAAGUCGGUCUCAGUUCGGAUUGGGGUCUGCAACUCGACCCCAUGAAGUCGGAGUCGCUAGUAAUCGCAGAUCAGCAACGCUGCGGUGAAUACGUUCCCGGGCCUUGUACACACCGCCCGUCAAGUCAUGAAAUCGGUAACACCCGAUAGCCAGUGGCCUAACCGUAAGGAUGGAGCUGUCGAAGGUG
Molecule: ribosomal RNA, 558 nt
Filed under: uncultured Actinomycetes bacterium
Lineage: Bacteria; Bacillati; Actinomycetota; Actinomycetes
Description: bacterial SSU rRNA
Rfam family: Bacterial small subunit ribosomal RNA
Source: RNAcentral